AAUCCCGUGAACCAUCGAGUCUUUGAACGCAAGUUGCGCCCCAAGCCUUCUGGCCGAGGGCACGUCUGCCUGGGUGUCACAAAUCGUCGUCUCCAUCCUUUGCGGAUAAGGGACGGAAGUUGGUCUCCCGUGUGUUACCGCACGCGGUUGCCCUAAAUCUGAG
Molecule: ribosomal RNA, 163 nt
Filed under: Tomostima araboides
Lineage: Eukaryota; Viridiplantae; Streptophyta; Magnoliopsida; Brassicales; Brassicaceae
Description: 5.8S ribosomal RNA
Rfam family: 5.8S ribosomal RNA (bases 1-79)
Source: RNAcentral